RNAcentral lists this unclassified non-coding RNA (387 nucleotides) under soil metagenome. Its description in RNAcentral is "partial contains 5.8S ribosomal RNA, internal transcribed spacer 2, and large subunit ribosomal RNA". The stretch from base 1 to 120 matches the Rfam family "5.8S ribosomal RNA", at positions 35 to 154 of the family's 154-position model. The record is from RNAcentral.
GAUGAAGAACGCAGCGAAAUGCGAUAAGUAAUGUGAAUUGCAGAAUUCAGUGAAUCAUCGAAUCUUUGAACGCACCUUGCGCUCCUUGGUAUUCCGAGGAGCAUGCCUGUUUGAGUGUCAUGAAAUUCUCAACCUUUUCAGCUUUCUUUGUUGAUCAGGCUUGGAUGUGGGAGUAUGCGGGCUUCUCAGAAGUCGGCUCUCCUGAAAUGCAUUAGCGGGACCUUUGUUGCCUGGCUUUGGUGUGAUAAUUAUCUACGCCAUUGUAGUCAAGCAGCUUAAAAUGAGGUUUCAGCUUCUAACCGUCUCCCCUGAGACAGCUUUUUGACAAUUUGACCUCAAAUCAGGUAGGACUACCCGCUGAACUUAAGCAUAUCAAUAAGCGGAGGA